GAUGAACGCCGGCGGUGUGCCUAAUACAUGCAAGUCGAGCGCACUGGCCCAACUGAUAUGACGUGCUUGCACUGAAUUGACGUUGGAUUCCCAGUGAGCGGCGGACGGGUGAGUAACACGUGGGCAACCUGCCCUGAAGCGGGGGAUAACAUCUGGAAACAGGUGCUAAUACCGCAUAACAACGAAAACCACAUGGUUUUCGUUUCAAAGAUGGUUUCGGCUAUCACUUCAGGAUGGGCCCGCGGUGCAUUAGCUAGUUGGUAAGGUAACGGCUUACCAAGGCGAUGAUGCAUAGCCGAGUUGAGAGACUGAUCGGCCACAAUGGAACUGAGACACGGUCCAUACUCCUACGGGAGGCAGCAGUAGGGAAUCUUCCACAAUGGGCGCAAGCCUGAUGGAGCAACACCGCGUGAGUGAAGAAGGGUUUCGGCUCGUAAAGCUCUGUUGUUGGAGAAGAACGUGCGUGAGAGUAACUGUUCACGCAGUGACGGUAUCCAACCAGAAAGUCACGGCUAACUACGUGCCAGCCGCCGCCGUAACAC
Molecule: ribosomal RNA, 542 nt
Filed under: uncultured bacterium
Lineage: Bacteria
Description: bacterial SSU rRNA
Rfam family: Bacterial small subunit ribosomal RNA
Source: RNAcentral